RNAcentral lists this ribosomal RNA (110 nucleotides) under Octodon degus (degu). The record is from RNAcentral. Lineage: Eukaryota; Metazoa; Chordata; Mammalia; Rodentia; Octodontidae.
AGCCACAGCCACACCACCCUGAAAGAAUUCCGCUUCAUUUGAUCUCAGAAGCUAAACAGGGCAGGGUCUCAUGACUCCUUCAAUGGGAACUGACGAAAAGACUGUGGGCA